UCUGGUCUUGGGACACUGUCAGGUGGGCAGUUUGACUGGGGCGGUCGCCUCCCAAAAGGUAACGGAGGCGCUCAAAGGUUCUCUCAGUACGGUCGGAAAUCGUACGUAGAGUGUAAAGGCAAAAGAGAGCUUGAUUGCAAGACAUACAGGUCGAGCAAGGAUGAAAAUCGGACUUAGUGAUCCGGUGGUUCUGCGUGGAAGGGCCAUCGCUCAACGGAUAAAAGCUACCCUGGGGAUAACAGGCUUAUCCCCCCCAAGAGUCCACAUCGACGGGGAGGUUUGGCACCUCGCUGUCGGCUCAUCACAUCCUGGGGCUGUAGUAGGUCCCAAGGGUUGGGCUGUUCGCCCAUUAAAGUGGUACGCGAGCUGGGUUCAGAACGUCGUGAGACAGUUCGGUCCCUAUCCGUCGCAGGCGGAGGAAAUUUGAGAAGACCUGUCCUUAGUA
Molecule: ribosomal RNA, 445 nt
Filed under: Clostridioides difficile
Lineage: Bacteria; Bacillati; Bacillota; Clostridia; Peptostreptococcales; Peptostreptococcaceae
Description: bacterial LSU rRNA
Rfam family: Bacterial large subunit ribosomal RNA
Source: RNAcentral